Molecule: ribosomal RNA, 253 nt
Filed under: uncultured bacterium
Lineage: Bacteria
Description: partial 16S ribosomal RNA
Rfam family: Bacterial small subunit ribosomal RNA
Source: RNAcentral
UACGUAGGGGGCAAGCGUUGUCCGGAAUCAUUGGGCGGAAAGAGCGUGUAGGCGGCUCGGUAAGUCCGCUGUGAAAGUCCAGGGCUCAACCCUGGAAUGCCGGUGGAAACUGUCGAGCUAGAGUCCGGAAGAGGCGAGUGGAAUUCCUGGUGUAGCGGUGAAAUGCGCAGAUAUCGGGAGGAAUACCAGUGGCGAAGGCGGCCUUCUGGACGGAUACUGACGCUGAGGCGCGAAAGCCAGGGGAGCAAACGGG